This is a long non-coding RNA of Antechinus flavipes (yellow-footed antechinus), 3213 nucleotides long. RefSeq lists it as uncharacterized. Lineage: Eukaryota; Metazoa; Chordata; Mammalia; Dasyuromorphia; Dasyuridae. The record is from RefSeq and is a predicted model, not a curated record. The transcript is spliced from 3 exons.
GUGUCCGUCAGGCUGCUGCAGCUGUCACCGAUGCCCCAGAAGCCAUUGCCCCCUGCCCUGCCUUGGUGUAAAUUUAGAUGCACACACUCUGCUUUCCUUCCGCGUCUGCUGAGGCUGAGCGCUCUUAAUCCGAGUUCGGUGACGUUGUUCCUGGAAUAUUUUGAUUUGGAGUCAGAAGACUUAAAUUCAGCUUUUGCUAUUACCAAUUGAGUAAUCAGUACAAUCCUAUAUAACAACCAGUUAAAGCUGCCUGCUUAAUUGUUCAUCUAGUGGCACUGGUAGAAAAAAGGAGAAAAGGACCAUGACAUCAAGUAGUUGAUACCAUGACACACAAGUGAAUUGGAUUUAAGUGAGGGAGGGCUGUGCAAGGUCAUCUGCCUCACUUUCUCCUCCAGAGCCAUCUGGGUCCAGUGGUAAGAUGCAUUUCAAGACGACUGGAGAUGACCCUGGUUGACAUGGUAGGCACUUAAUAACUAUUUAUUGAUGCAUAAUCACAGAACAUAAGUCCAGAUAGCACAGGAUUUAUUAAACCUCUUUUGUCCCAUAAACUUCAUCCCUGUUAUCCCAGGUCCUUCUGAGGGUAACUGUGGGUGAGGAGGAGAGAAAAAUGAUAGUUUUUUUUUUUUUUCAGUUUGGACCCAUUUGUUCAGUUCUAUAAAACUCUUUUUUGAUAUUGCUAGAAGACUGUCAGUUGAAAACAAAUCUCAAAACCUAAAAUAAUUUUAUUAGAUCAUUUUGGCGAAAAAAAAAAAAAAGGCCCGGGAAAAGUGUGGCUACUAAAAAUUAAAAGAAAAUCCUUAAAAGGAUUUUAAAGGCCAUCCAAACUCUUCCCAGUUUAUUCGUUUUGGAGAGAGGUUCAGUUUUGUACAACCUAAGACUGGUUGCUCUUAACACAAAGAUUGUCUCUUCUAUAUUUCCUAUAUUCUAUGGUCUUGAAUAAGCUCUCUGAGUUUAACAAAAUAAGGGAUAUCGAUAAAAAAGAACUAAGGAGCCUGAUUUUAAAUUGUUCCCUUAAAACAAGUUACGCUUUUUUUUUUUUUUUUUGAUAGCAUAGUAAUUGGUGACCUGAAAAGGAUAUUCAAUCAGUCAACCAAAAAGCAUUUAUUAAAGAUCUGUUAUGUGUCAGGCACUGUGUAUAUCCUGAGGAUACAGAGAAAGGCAAAAAGACAACCACCACUCUCCAAGAGCUCACGCAUGGAAAACAAUAUGCAAACAUCUAUGUACAAACAAGAUAGACAAAUGCAGUACACACUGAAGAUAAUAAACAGAGGGAAGGCAUUAGAAUUGAGAAGAAAUGCAAAACGUUUUUGGUAGCAGUUGGAAUUUAGCCAGCACUUGAGGGAACCCAGGAGGUAGAAAUAAAGAGAUAGAGCAUUCUAGGCAAGGGAAUACAGUGUUUCAAGAGUACAAAUUAGAAAUAAUAAUAAUUCUAAUAUGAUGAUGAUGAUGAUUAGCAUUAAUAUAGCGCCUACUAUUUCCCAAGCACUGUAGCUUAAGCAUUUGACUUGGAGAGGCUUUUUUGUGCAAACUCUUCAUAUCUCAAACUAUCUUGAUUUCUUUUUUUUAAUUAAAGUUUUUAUUUUUCAAAACAUGCAUGGACAAUUUUUCAUCAUUAGCCCUUUGUUCCAAUUUUCCUCCACUUCCCCCAUGCCCUCUCCUAGAUGGCAAAUAUAUCUUGAUUUCUUACCAGGUGUUCAUAAAGAGUGAUUAUUGCUAGUAUUAAAAUAACAGUCACUCUAGGUAAUUAUUUUGUAGCUGAAUAGUAUAAAAUUAAUCGCAAUGUGAUAUAAAAGAAAACUAGAAAUGUGUUUCCUUCAAGCUAAAGCAUAAAAACAAAUUCAUUACUUAUGUUUUGUGAUCUUUUUCUUUGUCUGGAAGGGAAGAAAUUAUUUAUAUGCUGUAAUGUGUGUUUAUUAAAUGUCUUUAUACAUUAAAUUAGAUAUAUGUUAAACCAAAAGCUAGAAAACAACGUGGGUACUUAUUGACUAAGAAAUGGUGAAACAAGUUAGGGUGUAUUAAUUUAACUUACUGUAAUACCUUAAGGAAUAAGAGGAAUUUUGAGAAACCUAAAAAAGAUUUCAUAAACUGAUGCAGAUUGAAGUAGAACCAGAAAAAAAAUUGAUAUAUGCAAUGACUACAGUAACAAAAUGAAAAUAUCAAUGAAAGAUACUUCAACUCAGAUUUAUUAAAAUGAAUUGUCUUGCUUCCACAGAACUGAGGAUGGAAGGGAUUUUUCUCCUUUCUAUAUAAAGGUGAGAAACUAUGAUUAUGAAAUGCUAUGCACAAUGAAAGAGUCAUUUUUUUUUUUUUACAAAUUAAGACAACUCUCCCAUACCACUACACACCUCUCAGAUUAGCUAAAAUGACAGGAAAAGAUAAUAACAAAUGUUGGAAGAGAUGUGGGAAAACUGGGACACUGAUACAUUGUUGAUAGAACUGUGAACGGAUCCAACCAUUCUGGAGAGCAAUUUGGAACUAUGCUCAAAAAUGUAUCAAACUGUGCAUACCCUUUGAUCCAACAAUGUUUCUACUGGGUUUAUCUCCCAAAGUGAUCUUAAAGAGGGGAAAGGGAACUGUAUGUGCAAAAAUGUUUGUGGCAGGUUUUUUUUGUAGUGACUAGAAACUGGAUACUGAAUAGAUGCCCAUCAAUUGAAGAAUGGCUGAAUAAAUUAUGGUAUAUGGAUGUUAUGGAAUAUUAUUAAAUGACCAACAGGAUGAUUUCAGAGAUGCCUAGAGAGACAUGAAUUGAUGCUAAGUGAAAUGAGCAGAACCAGAUCAUUAUACUUGGCAAUAACAAGACUAUACAAUGAUCAAUUCUGAUGGACAUUGCUCUCUUCAACAAUGAGAUGAUUCAAACCAGUUUCAAUUGUUCAUUAAUGAAGAGAACCAUCUACACCCAGAGAGAGAAAUAUAGGAACUGAGUGUGGACUACAACAUAGCAUUUUCACUCUUUCUGUUACUAUUUGCUUGCAUUUUUGUUUUCCUUCUAAAGUUUUUUUUUCCUUUCUAGAUCAGAUUUUUCUUGUACAGCAAGAUUAUAUAAAUAUGUAUACAUAUAUUGGAUUUAACAUAUUUAACAUGUAUUGGACUAUUUGCCAUUUAGGGGAGGGAAGGGGGGAAGGAGGGGAAAAUUUGGAACAGAAGGUUUUGCAAGGGUCAAUGUUGAAAAAAUUAUCCAUGCACAUGUUUUGUAAAUAAAAAGCUAUAAUUAAA